CUGCUCCCUCCCGGCUGCCUG
RNAcentral lists this microRNA (21 nucleotides) under Gallus gallus (chicken). RNAcentral describes it as "gga-miR-12207-3p". Lineage: Eukaryota; Metazoa; Chordata; Aves; Galliformes; Phasianidae. The record is from miRBase by way of RNAcentral.